CCUACGGGGGGCAUCAGUGAGGAAUAUUGGUCAAUGGGCGAGAGCCUGAACCAGCCAAGUCGCGUGAGGGAAGACGGUCCUAUGGAUUGUAAACCUCUUUAGGCGGGGAGCAAUGCCGGGCACGCGUGCCCGGAGGGAGAGUACCCGCAGAAUAAGCACCGGCUAACUCCGUGCCAGCAGCCCCGGUAAUACGGAGGUUGCGAGCGUUUUCCGGAUUUAUUGGGUUUAAAGGGUGCGUAGGCGGAUUGUUAAGUCAGCGGUAAAAUGUCCGGGCUCAACCCGGGCCGGCCGUUGAAACUGGGGAGCUUGAGUGGGCGAGAAGUAUGCGGAAUGCGUGGUGUAGCGGUGAAAUGCAUAGAUAUCACGCAGAACUCCGAUUGCGAAGGCAGCAUACCGGCGCCCGACUGACGCUGAGGCACGAAAGCGUGGGGAUCGAACAGGAUUAGAUACCCCUGUAGUC
This 460-nucleotide ribosomal RNA is filed under the name uncultured bacterium. RNAcentral describes it as "partial 16S ribosomal RNA". It matches the Rfam family "Bacterial small subunit ribosomal RNA", at positions 338 to 795 of the family's 1533-position model. The record is from RNAcentral.